RNAcentral lists this non-coding RNA (26 nucleotides) under Mus musculus (house mouse). Lineage: Eukaryota; Metazoa; Chordata; Mammalia; Rodentia; Muridae. The record is from RNAcentral.
UGUGAUCCUUUGCUAAGGUAUUGUGU